GAUGAACGCUGGCGGCGUGCCUAAUACAUGCAAGUCGAGCGAACAGACGAUGAGCUUGCUCCUCUGACGUUAGCGGCGGACGGGUGAGUAACACGUGGAUAACCUACCUAUAAGACUGGUAUAACUUCGGGAAACCGGCGCUAAUACCGGAUAAUAUAUUGAACCGCAUGGUUCAAUAGUGAAAGACGGUUUUGCUGUCACUUAUAGAUGGAUCCAAGCCGCAUUAGCUAGUUGGUAAGGUAACGGCUUACCAAGGCGACGAGGCGUAGCCGACGUGAGAGGGUGAUCGGCCACACUGGAACUGAGACAGGGUCCAGACUCCUACGGGAGGCAGCAGUAGGGAAUCUUCCGCAAUGGGCGAAAGCCUUACGGAGCAACGCCGCGUGAGUGAUAAAGGUCUUCGGAUCGUAAAACUCUGUUAUUGGGGAAGAACAAAUGUGUAAGUAACUAUGCACGUCUUGACGGUACCUAAUCAGAAAGCAACGGCUAACUACGUG
This 497-nucleotide ribosomal RNA is filed under the name uncultured bacterium. Its description in RNAcentral is "partial 16S ribosomal RNA". It matches the Rfam family "Bacterial small subunit ribosomal RNA", at positions 28 to 507 of the family's 1533-position model. The record is from RNAcentral.